GCUCCUACGGGGCGCAGCAGUGAGGAAUAUUGGUCAAUGGGAGAGAUCCUGAACCAGCCAAGCCGCGUGAGGGAAGAAGGUCUUCGGAUUGUAAAGCUCUUUCGGACGUGACGAUGAUGACGGUAGCGUCUAAAGAAGCACCGGCAAACUUCGUGCCAGCAGCCGCGGUAAUACGAAGGGUGCGAGCGUUGUUCGGAAUUACUGGGCGUAAAGGGAGUGUAGGCGGAUAUGUAAGAUAGCGGUGAAAUGCCGGGGCUCAACCCCGGAACUGCCAUUAUGACUAUGUAUCUAGAGUAAUGGAGAGG
Molecule: ribosomal RNA, 305 nt
Filed under: uncultured bacterium
Lineage: Bacteria
Description: bacterial SSU rRNA
Rfam family: Bacterial small subunit ribosomal RNA
Source: RNAcentral